RNAcentral lists this ribosomal RNA (421 nucleotides) under Serratia marcescens. RNAcentral's name for it is "partial 23S ribosomal RNA". It matches the Rfam family "Bacterial large subunit ribosomal RNA", at positions 1219 to 1638 of the family's 2925-position model. Lineage: Bacteria; Pseudomonadati; Pseudomonadota; Gammaproteobacteria; Enterobacterales; Yersiniaceae. The record is from RNAcentral.
CGUUGUUGGGUAGGGGAGCGUUCUGUAAGCCGUUGAAGGUGGCCUGUGAGGGUUGCUGGAGGUAUCAGAAGUGCGAAUGCUGACAUAAGUAACGAUAAAGCGGGUGAAAAGCCCGCUCGCCGGAAGACCAAGGGUUCCUGUCCAACGUUAAUCGGGGCAGGGUGAGUCGACCCCUAAGGCGAGGCUGAAAAGCGUAGUCGAUGGGAAACAGGUUAAUAUUCCUGUACUUGGUGUUACUGCGAAGGGGGGACGGAGAAGGCUAGGCUAGCCGGGCGACGGUUGUCCCGGUUUAAGCGUGUAGGGGGUGUGACCUGGUAAAUCCGGUUGCAUAUCAACCCUGAGGCGUGAUGACGAUGCACUACGGUGCAGAAGUAGUUGAUGCCCUGCUUCCAGGAAAAGCCUCUAAGCUCCAGGUAACAUU